CGACUGAUUAGAAGCUUGCUUCUAUGACGUUAGCGGCGGACGGGUGAGUAACACGUGGGCAACCUGCCUGUAAGACUGGGAUAACUUCGGGAAACCGAAGCUAAUACCGGAUAGGAUCUUCUCCUUCAUGGGAGAUGAUUGAAAGAUGGUUUCGGCUAUCACUUACAGAUGGGCCCGCGGUGCAUUAGCUAGUUGGUGAGGUAACGGCUCACCAAGGCAACGAUGCAUAGCCGACCUGAGAGGGUGAUCGGCCACACUGGGACUGAGACACGGCCCAGACUCCUACGGGAGGCAGCAGUAGGGAAUCUUCCGCAAUGGACGAAAGUCUGACGGAGCAACGCCGCGUGAGUGAUGAAGGCUUUCGGGUCGUAAAACUCUGUUGUUAGGGAAGAACAAGUACGAGAGUAACUGCUCGUACCUUGACGGUACCUAACCAGAAAGCCACGGCUAACUACGUGC
RNAcentral lists this ribosomal RNA (459 nucleotides) under Priestia megaterium. Its description in RNAcentral is "bacterial SSU rRNA". It matches the Rfam family "Bacterial small subunit ribosomal RNA", at positions 67 to 508 of the family's 1533-position model. Lineage: Bacteria; Bacillati; Bacillota; Bacilli; Caryophanales; Bacillaceae. The record is from RNAcentral.